GAUGAACGCUGGCGGCGUGCCUAAUACAUGCAAGUCGAGCGAACGGACGAGAAGCUUGCUCCUCUGAUGUUAGCGGCGGACGGGUGAGUAACACGUGGAUAACCUACCUAUAAGACUGGGAUAACUUCGGGAAACCGGAGCUAAUACCGGAUAAUAUUUUGAACCGCAUGGUUCAAAAGUGAAAGACGGUCUUGCUGUCACUUAUAGAUGGAUCCGCGCCGCAUUAGCUAGUUGGUAAGGUAACGGCUUACCAAGGCAACGAUGCAUAGCCGACCUGAGAGGGUGAUCGGCCACACUGGAACUGAGACACGGUCCAGACUCCUACGGGAGGCAGCAGUAGGGAAUCUUCCGCAAUGGGCGAAAGCCUGACGGAGCAACGCCGCGUGAGUGAUGAAGGUCUUCGGAUCGUAAAACUCUGUUAUUAGGGAAGAACAUAUGUGUAAGUAACUGUGCACAUCUUGACGGUACCUAAUCAGAAAGCCACGGCUAACUACGUG
Molecule: ribosomal RNA, 497 nt
Filed under: uncultured bacterium
Lineage: Bacteria
Description: partial 16S ribosomal RNA
Rfam family: Bacterial small subunit ribosomal RNA
Source: RNAcentral